RNAcentral lists this ribosomal RNA (323 nucleotides) under uncultured bacterium. RNAcentral's name for it is "bacterial SSU rRNA". It matches the Rfam family "Bacterial small subunit ribosomal RNA", at positions 28 to 334 of the family's 1533-position model. The record is from RNAcentral.
GACGAACGCUGGCGGCGUGCUUAACACAUGCAAGUCGAACGGAGCACCUUUGAAAGAGACUUCGGUCAAUGGAUGAGACUGCUUAGUGGCGGACGGGUGAGUAACGCGUGAGGAACCUGCCUUUCAGAGGGGGACAACAGUUGGAAACGACUGCUAAUACCGCAUGAUGCAUGAUCAGGGCAUCCUGGACAUGCCAAAGAUUUAUCGCUGAAGAUGGCCUCGCGUCUGAUUAGCUAGUUGGUGAGGUAACGGCCCACCAUGCCGACGAUUGGUAGCCGGACUGAGAGGUUGAACGGCCACAUUGGGACUGAGACACGGCCCAG